Molecule: ribosomal RNA, 237 nt
Filed under: uncultured bacterium
Lineage: Bacteria
Description: partial 16S ribosomal RNA
Rfam family: Bacterial small subunit ribosomal RNA
Source: RNAcentral
GAUCAUGGCUCAGGAUGAACGCUGGCGGCGUGCCUAACACAUGCAAGUCGAGCGAAGCGGUUUUAAGGAAGUUUUCGGAUGGAAUUAAAACUGACUGAGCGGCGGACGGGUGAGUAACGCGUGGGUAAUCUGCCUCAUACAGGGGGAUAACAGUUAGAAAUGGCUGCUAAUACCGCAUAAGCACACAGCUUCGCAUGGAGCAGUGUGAAAAAACUCGGUGGUAUGAGAUGGACCCGG